Molecule: long non-coding RNA, 348 nt
Organism: Tribolium castaneum (red flour beetle)
Lineage: Eukaryota; Metazoa; Arthropoda; Insecta; Coleoptera; Tenebrionidae
Exons: 3
Source: RefSeq, a predicted model, not a curated record
GAGUUUGAUGUUCUUGGAUUGGCGACCCAGGCUGUCACAUGGCAGCUGUCACAAAAUUUCAAUGUCAAGCUGACGAACAAUUUAUACUUAAGUUAACAAAGAACGGAAUAAAUUAACAUAAUAGGCCCAAAACAAACUAGAAAUAUGGUUAGAGGAUUGUUCAGUUUUAUCGUGGGACUUUAUGCAGGAGUUUACCUUAGCCAAAACUAUGAUAUUCCGCGAGUGGACGACCCUCAGGCUUUAUUUGAAAAGAUUAAAGACUUUGCCGAUAAACAUAGGAAGCAAUAGAUUAAUCGUUUAGUAGCUGUGUGUGAUUUAUUUAAAUAAAAUUAUGCUAUUACAUUAUAA